RNAcentral lists this long non-coding RNA (409 nucleotides) under Mytilus galloprovincialis (Mediterranean mussel). Lineage: Eukaryota; Metazoa; Mollusca; Bivalvia; Mytilida; Mytilidae. The record is from RNAcentral.
UUUUCAAUCACAUGGUUUAACCAACUAACUAACAUGUUUAACCCCGCCACAUUAUUUAUGUAUGUGCCUUUCCCAAGUCAGGAGCCUGUAAUUCAGUGGUUGUCGUUCGGUUAUGUGUUACAUAUUUGUUUUUCGUUCAUUUUUCUUUUAUAUAAUAAGGCCGUUAUUUUCUCGUUUGAAUUGUUUUACAUUGUCUUAUCGGGGCCUUUUAUAGCUGACUAUGCGGUAUGGGCUUUGCUCAUUGUUGAAGGCCGUACGGCGACCUAUAAUUGUCAAUGUCUGCGUUAUUUUGGUCUCUUGUGGACAGUUGUCUCAUUGGCAAUCUUACCACAUCUUCUUUUUUAUAAUUCUAUUUGAAGUGAUGAUACAAUGGCGGAAUUUAAAAACGGUUGCAAAUACGUCUACCGAC